UCCGGUUGAUCCUGCCRGACCCGACUGCUAUCAGAGUGAGACUAAGCCAUGCGAGUUAACGUAUGAAUAAUACGUGGCACACGGCUCAGUAACACGUAGUCAACAUGCCCAGAGGACGUGGAUAACCUCGGGAAACUGAGGAUAAACCGCGAUAGGCCAUAAUUACUGGAAUGGGUUAUGGCUUAAACCUAUAUGGCCUCUGGAUUGGACUGCGGCCGAUCAGGCUGUUGGUGAGGUAAUGGCCCACCAAACCUGUUACCGGUACGGGCUCUGAGAGGAGGAGCCCGGAGAUGGGCACUGAGACAAGGGCCCAGGCCCUAUGGGGCGCAGCAGGCGCGAAACCUCUGCAAUAGGCGAAAGCCUGACAGGGUUACUCUGAGUGACUUUCGCUAAGAAAGUCUUUUGGCACCUCUAAAAAGGGUGCAGAAUAAGGGGUGGGCAAGUCUGGUGUCAGCCGCCGCGGUAAUACCAGCACCCCGAGUGGUCGGGACGAUUAUUGGGCCUAAAGCAUCCGUAGCCGGUUCUGCAAGUCCCCCGUUAAAUCCAGCUGCUCAACAGAUGGGCCGCGGAGGAUACUACAGAGCUAGGAGGCAGGAGAGGCAAGCGGUACUCAGUGGGUAGGGGUAAAAUCCGUUGAUCCAUUGAAGACCACCAGUGGCGAAGGCGGCUUGCCAGAAUGCGCUCGACGGUGAGGGAUGAAAGCUGGGGGAGCAAACCGGAUUAGAUACCCGGGUAGUCCCAGCCGUAAACGAUGCAGACUCGGUGAUGGGUUGGCUUCGCGCUAACCCAGUGCCGCAGGGAAGCCGUUAAGUCUGCCGCCUGGGUAGUACGGUCGCAAGACUGAAACUUAAAGGAAUUGGCGGGGGAGCACCACAAGGGGUGAAGCCUGCGGUUCAAUUGGAKUCAACGCCGGRA
Molecule: ribosomal RNA, 915 nt
Filed under: uncultured archaeon
Lineage: Archaea
Description: bacterial SSU rRNA
Rfam family: Archaeal small subunit ribosomal RNA
Source: RNAcentral